CUGCUCCUGCUGGCUCACUGGAGAAGCCCGGCUGCACUGACAUGGAGCUGAACCUUCAUCAAUGUCACCAGGAACACCUGUCUUUACCUGCUAGUUCAUGUCAACAUGGCUGCUGCGGAAAGGGUCUAUCAAGCGAUGCAAAGCUGCAACAUCAUCAACAUGCCUGUUUGCUCCAAAUGAAGGCUAAUAUUGGCUAGAUCUAGAGAAAGAGGUCGGUUCGGUUGCCGACUCAAACAGAUGCUGCAACCAUUAAUCUUCAUCAGACAGCAAGACACGAGGUGGUCCAAGAUACUGUCCUCCAGUCCAGGAGAUCGACAGCUACUGUAACUUCAAUCAAAAGCCGACUCCAAAUUAUACGCCGAGUCUUGGGAACACCUGUGAGAGGUCACUGUCCAUCUGUGAGCUUGCACAAAGGAGCAAAGUUUUGCCGGCGACAUCUGUGAUUUAAACUUGUUUUAUUUUUCAUUUCGUUUACCUAUUUUCCCCUCGGAGAUCAAUAAAGUCUUUCUGAUUCUGA
Myripristis murdjan (pinecone soldierfish) is the source of this 517-nucleotide long non-coding RNA. RefSeq lists it as uncharacterized. The transcript has 2 exons. The record is from RefSeq and is a predicted model, not a curated record. NCBI's taxonomy places the organism in Eukaryota, Metazoa, Chordata, Actinopteri, Holocentriformes, Holocentridae.